This 253-nucleotide ribosomal RNA is filed under the name uncultured bacterium. RNAcentral describes it as "partial 16S ribosomal RNA". It matches the Rfam family "Bacterial small subunit ribosomal RNA", at positions 524 to 776 of the family's 1533-position model. The record is from RNAcentral.
GACGAACCUGACGAACGUUAUUCGGAAUCACUGGGCUUAAAGGGUGCGUAGGCUGUGCAGAAAGUUGGGUGUGAAAUCCCUCGGCUUAACCGAGGAACUGCGCCCAAAACUACUGUGCUUGAGUGAGAUAGAGGUGAGCGGAACUUAGGGUGGAGCGGUGAAAUGCGUUGAUAUCCUAAGGAACACCGGUGGCGAAAGCGGCUCACUGGGUCUCAACUGACGCUGAGGCACGAAAGCUAGGGGAGCGAACGGG